GACGAACGCUGGCGGCGUGCUUAACACAUGCAAGUCGAACGGAAAGGCCCUGCUUUUGUGGGGUGCUCGAGUGGCGAACGGGUGAGUAACACGUGAGUAACCUGCCCUUGACUUUGGGAUAACUUCAGGAAACUGGGGCUAAUACCGGAUAGGAGCUCCUGCUGCAUGGUGGGGGUUGGAAAGUUUCGGCGGUUGGGGAUGGACUCGCGGCUUAUCAGCUUGUUGGUGGGGUAGUGGCUUACCAAGGCUUUGACGGGUAGCCGGCAUGAGAGGGUGACCGCCGACAUGGGGCCUGAGAUACGGACCAGAGUGCUACGUUAGGCAGUAGGCGGGAGUCUUGCACAAUGGGGGGAAGCCUGAUGAAGCAAUGCCGCGUGCGGGAUGACGGCCUUCGGGGUGUAAACCGCUUUCGCCUGUGACGAAGCGUGAGUGACGGUAAUGGGUAAAGAAGCACCGGCUAACUACGUG
Molecule: ribosomal RNA, 468 nt
Filed under: uncultured bacterium
Lineage: Bacteria
Description: partial 16S ribosomal RNA
Rfam family: Bacterial small subunit ribosomal RNA
Source: RNAcentral